RNAcentral lists this ribosomal RNA (468 nucleotides) under uncultured bacterium. RNAcentral describes it as "partial 16S ribosomal RNA". It matches the Rfam family "Bacterial small subunit ribosomal RNA", at positions 28 to 507 of the family's 1533-position model. The record is from RNAcentral.
GACGAACGCUGGCGGCGUGCUUAACACAUGCAAGUCGAGCGGAAAGGCCCUGCUUUUGUGGGGUGCUCGAGUGGCGAACGGGUGAGUAACACGUGAGUAACCUGCCCUUGACUUUGGGAUAACUUCAGGAAACUGGGGCUAAUACCGGAUAGGAGCUCCUGCUGCAUGGUGGGGGUUGGAAAGUUUCGGCGGUUGGGGAUGGACUCGCGGCUUAUCAGCUUGUUGGUGGGGUAGUGGCUUACCAAGGCUUUGACGGGUAGCCGGCCUGAGAGGGUGACCGGCCACAUUGGGACUGAGAUACGGCCCAGGCUCCUACGGGAGGCAGCAGUGGGGAAUAUUGCACAAUGGGCGGAAGCCUGAUGCAGCAACGCCGCGUGCGGGAUGACGGCCUUCGGGCUGUAAACCGCUUUCGCCUGUGACGAAGCGUGAGUGACGGUAAUGGGUAAAGAAGCACCGGCUAACUACGUG